Molecule: ribosomal RNA, 501 nt
Filed under: uncultured bacterium
Lineage: Bacteria
Description: partial 16S ribosomal RNA
Rfam family: Bacterial small subunit ribosomal RNA
Source: RNAcentral
AUUGAACGCUGGCGGCAUGCCUUACACAUGCAAGUCGAACGGCAGCACGGGUGCUUGCACCUGGUGGCGAGUGGCGAACGGGUGAGUAAUAUAUCGGAACGUACCUUAUUGUGGGGGAUAACGCAGCGAAAGCUGUGCUAAUACCGCAUAAUCCCUUAGGGGGAAAGCGGGGGACCGUAAGGCCUCGCGCAAUUAGAGCGGCCGAUACCUGAUUAGCUAGUUGGUGAGGUAAAGGCUCACCAAGGCGACGAUCAGUAGCUGGUCUGAGAGGACGAUCAGCCACGCUGGGACGGGGACACGGACCAGACUCCUACGGGAGGCAGCAGUGGGGAAUUUUGGGCAAUGGGGGCAACCCUGAUCCAGCAAUGCCGCGUGAGUGAAGAAGGCCUUCGGGUUGUAAAGCUCUUUUGUCAGGGAAGAAACAGCAGCUCUAACACAGUAUGCGAAUGACGGUACCUGAAGAAUAAGCACCGGUUAACUACGUGCCAGCAGCCGCCGUAA